Molecule: long non-coding RNA, 1869 nt
Filed under: Salmo salar (Atlantic salmon)
Lineage: Eukaryota; Metazoa; Chordata; Actinopteri; Salmoniformes; Salmonidae
Description: lncRNA (ENSSSAG00000105757.1)
Source: RNAcentral
GCAAAAACCAAGCAACGAGGUCGAAGGAAUUGUCCAUAGAGCUCCGAGACAGGAUUGUGUCGAGGCACAGAGGUGACCAAGAACCCGAUGGUCCCUCUGACAGAGCUCCAAAGUUCCUCUGUGGAGAUGGGAGAACCUUCCAGGAGGACAACCAUCUCUGCAGCACUCCACCAAUCAGGCCUUUAUGGUAGAGUGGCCAGACGGAAGCCACUACUCAGUAAAAGGCACAUGACAGCCUGAAUGUAAUUUGUCAAAAGGCACUUAAAGACUCUCAGACCAUGAGAAACAAGAUUACCUGGGGAGGUUAGGGGGGUUAGUAUAGAAUAAUGGAGGUAUAAUAGGUGGGUUAGUAUAGAAUAAUGGAGGUAUAAUAGGGGGGUUAGUAUAGAAUAAUAGAGGUAUAAUAGAAUGGAGGAGGUUUAAUAGGUGGGUUAGUAUUAGAUAAUGGAGGUAUAAUGGGGGGUUAGUAUAGAAUAAUGGAUGCAUAUCAGAAUGUAGGAGGUAUAAUUGGGGGGUUAGUAUAGAAUAAUGGAGGUAUAUCAGAAUGUAGGAGGUAUAACAGAAUGUAGGAGGUAUAAUAGGUGGGUUAGUAUAGAAUAAUGAAGUUAUAAUAGGGGGUUUAGUAUAGAAUAAUGGAGGUAUAAUAGAAUGUGGGAGGUAUAAUAGUUGGGUUAGUAUAGAAUAGUGGAGGUAUAACAGGGGGAUAGUAUAGAAUAAUGGAGGUAUAAUAGAAUGUGGGAGGUAUAAUAGGUGGGUUAGUAUAGAAUAAUGGAGGUAUAACAGGGGGGAUAGUAAAGAAUGUAGGAGGUAUAAUAGGUGGGUUAGUAUAGAAUAAUGAAGGUAUAAUAGGGGGGUUAGUAUAGACUAAUGGAGGUAUAAUAGAAUGUAGGAGGUACAGAAUAGAAUAUAGAAUAAUGAAUGUAUAAUAAGGGGGUUAGUAUAGAAUAAUGGAGGUAUAAUAGGGGGGUUAGUAUAGAAUAAUGAAGGUAUAAUAGUGGGGUUAGUAUAGAAUAAUGGAGGUAUAAUAGAAUGUAGGAGGUACAGAAUAGAAUAUAGAAUAAUGAAGGUAUACUAAGGGGGUUAGUAUAGAAUAAUGGAGGUAUAAUGGAGGGUUAGUAUAGAAUAAUGGAGGUAUAACAGGGGAGUUAGUAUAGAAUACUGGAGGUAUAACAGGGGUUUAGUAUAGAAUAAUGGAGGUAUAACAGGAGGUUAGUAUAAGAUAAUAGAGGUAUAACAGGGGGUUAGUAUAGAAUAAUGGAUGUGUAACAGGGGGUUAGUAUAGAAUAAUGGAGGUAUAACAGGGGUUUAGUAUAGAAUAAUGGAGGUAUAACAGGGCGUUAGUAUAAGAUAAUGGAUGUGUAACAGGGGGUUAGUAUAGACUAAUGGAGGUGUAACAGGGGGUUAGUAUAGACUAAUGGAGGUGUAACAGGGGGUAAGUAUUGAAUAACGGAGGUAUAACAGGGGUUUAGUAUAGAUAAUGGAGGUUUGUAAAGAAACGUUACAGUUGGAGUAAAUGCACCACCUACAUAGAACUAGAUUAGCCAAACAUUCCAAGAUUGAAAAAUGAAGUUGUUACUGAAUAAAAUAAAUAGCAACAAUACAUUUUAUUUGUAUUGCGCUUUUCAAGACACUCAGUGUAUGGGCAUUAGGCAAUAUAUGAAACAAUAAUAGAAGUAGAGACGUGAGAACCAUGGUGUUAUGGACUUUAUUUACACAAUAAAGGCAUCAGCCCCUCUCUCUAAACUGCCUAAAGAGAGGGGCUGCACAGUAAAGAAACUGACCAGCUAUACUGCAACAUACACCAACAUUAAUAAGACAGGGAAUUACAAUCCAAUAUCUACACUGUCCAUCACAACUUUUCAAAAUGGC